This 468-nucleotide ribosomal RNA is filed under the name uncultured bacterium. RNAcentral describes it as "partial 16S ribosomal RNA". It matches the Rfam family "Bacterial small subunit ribosomal RNA", at positions 28 to 507 of the family's 1533-position model. The record is from RNAcentral.
GACGAACGCUGGCGGCGUGCUUAACACAUGCAAGUCGAACGGAAAGGCCCUGCUUUUGUGGGGUGCUCGAGUGGCGAACGGGUGAGUAACACGUGAGUAACCUGCCCUUGACUUUGGGAUAACUUCAGGAAACUGGGGCUAAUACCGGAUAGGAGCUCCUGCUGCAUGGUGGGGGUUGGAAAGUUUCGGCGGUUGGGGAUGGACUCGCGGCUUAUCAGCUUGUUGGUGGGGUAGUGGCUUACCAAGGCUUUGACGGGUAGCCGGCCUGAGAGGGUGACCGGCCACAUUGGGACUGAGAUACGGCCCAGACUCCUACAGGAGGCAGCAGUGGGGAAUAUUGCAGAAUGGGCGGAAGCCUGAGGCAGCAACGCCGCGUGCGGGAUGACGGCCUUCGGGUUGUAAACCGCUUUCGCCUGUGACGAAGCGUGAGUGACGGUAAUGGGUAAAGAAGCACCGGCUAACUACGUG